ACGGGUGAGAAACGCGUAGGAAUCUGCCUUAGAGAGGGGGACAACCCGAGGAAACUCGGGCUAAUACCGCAUAAUCUCGAAAGAGAAAAGGCUGGGUAGCAAUACCUGGCGCUUUAAGAGGAGCCUGCGUCCGAUUAGCUAGUUGGCGGGGUAAAAGCCCACCAAGGCGAUGAUCGGUAGCUGGUCUGAGAGGAUGAUCAGCCACACUGGGACUGAGACACGGCCCAGACUCCUACGGGAGGCAGCAGUGGGGAAUAUUGGACAAUGGGGGCAACCCUGAUCCAGCAAUGCCGCGUGUGUGAAGAAGGCCUUCGGGUUGUAAAGCACUUUAGGCUAAGAGGAAGUUGCGUAGUUUAAGAGAUAACGUAAUUGACUGUAUUAGCAGAAUAAGCACCGGCUAACUCUGUGCCAGCAGCCGCGGUAAUACAGAGGGUGCGAGCGUUAAUCGGAGUUACUGGGCGUAAAGGGCGCGUAGGCGGUCGGAUAAGUUGGAUGUGAAAUCCCUGGGCUUAACCUAGGAAUUGCAUACAAUACUAUUUGACUGGAGUACUGUAGAGGGUAGUGGAAUUUCCGGUGUA
RNAcentral lists this ribosomal RNA (578 nucleotides) under uncultured bacterium. Its description in RNAcentral is "bacterial SSU rRNA". It matches the Rfam family "Bacterial small subunit ribosomal RNA", at positions 102 to 677 of the family's 1533-position model. The record is from RNAcentral.